RNAcentral lists this ribosomal RNA (559 nucleotides) under Clostridioides difficile. RNAcentral's name for it is "partial 23S ribosomal RNA". It matches the Rfam family "Bacterial large subunit ribosomal RNA", at positions 1110 to 1675 of the family's 2925-position model. Lineage: Bacteria; Bacillati; Bacillota; Clostridia; Peptostreptococcales; Peptostreptococcaceae. The record is from RNAcentral.
AAGCAGCCACUCAUUCAAAGAGUGCGUAAUAGCUCACUGGUCGAGUGAUCCUGCGCCGAAGAUUUCCGGGGCUAAAACUUACUACCGAAGCUACGGCAUCAUUAUGAUGGGUAGGGGAGCUUCCCAUACGGGUUGAAGCAUGACCGUAAGGACAUGUGGACAGUAUGGGAGUGAGAAUGUUGGCAUGAGUAGCGAGAUGUGGGUGAGAAUCCCACAGGCCGUAAACCCAAGGUUUCCAGGGGAAGGUUCGUCCGCCCUGGGUUAGUCGGGACCUAAGCUGAGGCCGAAAGGCGUAGGUGAUGGACAACAGGUUGAUAUUCCUGUACUACCGAUAACCGUUUGAGAGAUGGGAUGACACAGUAGGAUAAGCUAAGCACACUGUUGGUUAUGUGUGCCCAAGCAUUGAGGCAGUCAGAGUAGGUAAAUCCGCUUUGAUAAUGCUGGGAUGUGAUGGGGAGCGAAAUUUAGUAGCGAAGUAGCUGAUUUCACACUGUCAAGAAAAGUCUCUAUCGAGGUUAAAGGUACCCGUACCGCAAACCGACACAGGUGGGUGAGGAGA